This 440-nucleotide ribosomal RNA is filed under the name uncultured bacterium. RNAcentral describes it as "bacterial SSU rRNA". It matches the Rfam family "Bacterial small subunit ribosomal RNA", at positions 958 to 1397 of the family's 1533-position model. The record is from RNAcentral.
AACGCGAAGAACCUUACCUGGGCUCGAAAUAUAGAGGACGACAACAGAGAUGUUGUCUCCCGCAAGGGCUUUUAUAUAGGUGCUGCAUGGCUGUCGUCAGCUCGUGCCGUGAGGUGUUUGGUUAAGUCCAGCAACGAGCGCAACCCUUAUCGUUAGUUGCCAACAUGUAAAGGUGGGAACUCUAACGAGACUGCCUGGGUUAACCAGGAGGAAGGUGAGGAUGACGUCAAGUCCGCAUGGCCUUUAUGUCCAGGGCUACACACGUGCUACAAUGGUCGGUACAGAAGGCUGCGAAACCGUAAGGCGAAGCAAAUCCUCUAAAACCGAUCUCAGUUCAGAUUGUAGUCUGCAACUCGGCUACAUGAAGUUGGAAUUGCUAGUAAUGGCGUGUCAGCAACAACGCCGUGAAUACGUUCCCGGGCCUUGUACACACCGGCUAC